GACAGAGGGUGCAAGCGUUAAUCGGAAUGACUGGGCGUAAAGGGCGAGUAGGCGGUUUAAUAAGUUGUAUGUGAAAUACCAGGGCUUAACCUUGGGGCUGCAUACAAAACUGAUGAACUAGAGAGCAGCAGAGGUAAGUGGAAUUUCCGGAGUAGCGGUGAAAUGCGUAGAUAUCGGAAGGAACACCAGUGGCGAAGGCGACUUUCUGGGCUGCGACUGACGCUGAGGAGCGAAGGCAUGGGGAGCAAACAGG
RNAcentral lists this ribosomal RNA (253 nucleotides) under uncultured bacterium. RNAcentral's name for it is "partial 16S ribosomal RNA". It matches the Rfam family "Bacterial small subunit ribosomal RNA", at positions 524 to 776 of the family's 1533-position model. The record is from RNAcentral.